RNAcentral lists this ribosomal RNA (1556 nucleotides) under Escherichia coli. RNAcentral describes it as "bacterial SSU rRNA". It matches the Rfam family "Bacterial small subunit ribosomal RNA". The record is from RNAcentral. Lineage: Bacteria; Pseudomonadati; Pseudomonadota; Gammaproteobacteria; Enterobacterales; Enterobacteriaceae.
UUAAAUUGAAGAGUUUGAUCAUGGCUCAGAUUGAACGCUGGCGGCAGGCCUAACACAUGCAAGUCGAACGGUAACAGGAAUCAGCUUGCUGAUUCGCUGACGAGUGGCGGACGGGUGAGUAAUGUCUGGGAAACUGCCUGAUGGAGGGGGAUAACUACUGGAAACGGUAGCUAAUACCGCAUAACGUCGCAAGACCAAAGAGGGGGACCUUCGGGCCUCUUGCCAUCGGAUGUGCCCAGAUGGGAUUAGCUAGUAGGUGGGGUAAAGGCUCACCUAGGCGACGAUCCCUAGCUGGUCUGAGAGGAUGACCAGCCACACUGGAACUGAGACACGGUCCAGACUCCUACGGGAGGCAGCAGUGGGGAAUAUUGCACAAUGGGCGCAAGCCUGAUGCAGCCAUGCCGCGUGUAUGAAGAAGGCCUUCGGGUUGUAAAGUACUUUCAGCGGGGAGGAAGGGAGUAAAGUUAAUACCUUUGCUCAUUGACGUUACCCGCAGAAGAAGCACCGGCUAACUCCGUGCCAGCAGCCGCGGUAAUACGGAGGGUGCAAGCGUUAAUCGGAAUUACUGGGCGUAAAGCGCACGCAGGCGGUUUGUUAAGUCAGAUGUGAAAUCCCCGGGCUCAACCUGGGAACUGCAUCUGAUACUGGCAAGCUUGAGUCUCGUAGAGGGGGGUAGAAUUCCAGGUGUAGCGGUGAAAUGCGUAGAGAUCUGGAGGAAUACCGGUGGCGAAGGCGGCCCCCUGGACGAAGACUGACGCUCAGGUGCGAAAGCGUGGGGAGCAAACAGGAUUAGAUACCCUGGUAGUCCACGCCGUAAACGAUGUCGACUUGGAGGUUGUGCCCUUGAGGCGUGGCUUCCGGAGCUAACGCGUUAAGUCGACCGCCUGGGGAGUACGGCCGCAAGGUUAAAACUCAAAUGAAUUGACGGGGGCCCGCACAAGCGGUGGAGCAUGUGGUUUAAUUCGAUGCAACGCGAAGAACCUUACCUGGUCUUGACAUCCACGGAAGUUUUCAGAGAUGAGAAUGUGCCUUCGGGAACCGUGAGACAGGUGCUGCAUGGCUGUCGUCAGCUCGUGUUGUGAAAUGUUGGGUUAAGUCCCGCAACGAGCGCAACCCUUAUCCUUUGUUGCCAGCGGUCCGGCCGGGAACUCAAAGGAGACUGCCAGUGAUAAACUGGAGGAAGGUGGGGAUGACGUCAAGUCAUCAUGGCCCUUACGACCAGGGCUACACACGUGCUACAAUGGCGCAUACAAAGAGAAGCGACCUCGCGAGAGCAAGCGGACCUCAUAAAGUGCGUCGUAGUCCGGAUUGGAGUCUGCAACUCGACUCCAUGAAGUCGGAAUCGCUAGUAAUCGUGGAUCAGAAUGCCACGGUGAAUACGUUCCCGGGCCUUGUACACACCGCCCGUCACACCAUGGGAGUGGGUUGCAAAAGAAGUAGGUAGCUUAACCUUCGGGAGGGCGCUUACCACUUUGUGAUUCAUGACUGGGGUGAAGUCGUAACAAGGUAACCGUAGGGGAACCUGCGGUUGGAUCACCUCCUUACCUUAAAGAAGC